CACGUAGGCGGCUCGAUAAGUUGGAUGUGAAAGCCCCUGGCUCAACCAGGGAACUGCAUUCAAUACUGCCGAGCUUGAGACCGGUAGGGGAGUGUGGAACUUCUAGUGUAGCGGUGAAAUGCGUAGAUAUUAGAAGGAACGCCGGUGGCGAAAGCGACACUCUGGACCGGUUCUGACGCUGAGGUGCGAAAGCUAGGGGAGCAAACAGGAUUAGAUACCCUGGUAGUCC
Molecule: ribosomal RNA, 229 nt
Filed under: uncultured bacterium
Lineage: Bacteria
Description: partial 16S ribosomal RNA
Rfam family: Bacterial small subunit ribosomal RNA
Source: RNAcentral